RNAcentral lists this long non-coding RNA (1245 nucleotides) under Zea mays. RNAcentral's name for it is "drought-responsive long non-coding RNA". Lineage: Eukaryota; Viridiplantae; Streptophyta; Magnoliopsida; Poales; Poaceae. The record is from RNAcentral.
AGCCCUCGCUCAGUUGGCCGGCCUCGCCUUCGCAUCCGUCCGGCCGCAGUCAACCUCCGGUUCGGAGUUCCCAUUCCCCACCAACCACCGUCUCCAUCGCACCGUCGCACUGUCGCCUCGCCGGCCGCACCUACGCCGUUGAAGUCGCUGUCGCAGCUGCAGGACGGAAAGGGCUUCAACAAGUGUGCUACCAACUGUCCAACUACCAAGAUAAGCAUGCAUUGCUGUUUUUUCUGUAGUGAUAGAUGCUUUUAUGCCACCAUUUGGUUCAUUUUCACAUGUUUUCUUUAGCAGAAUCAGUAUGGAAAUACUGCUCUUUUUUUGCUGUCUUUGUUCCAUUUUCUGUACUAUCUUCUCCUUUUCAUGAUCUUUGUUUUGGAAAUUGCGACAUCAAAUCCCAGUCAAUCUAAACUUUGUAUGCUUGCUUGGUUUAUCUAGUCAUGUAUUAAUACUCAUCACAUUUCAGUGUCUGCUUUGCAAACCAAAUUGAUGGUUAAGUGCUUGCCUAUUUGUUCUGCCUGAUUUCAUCGCAGCUCAGUUGUAUGAUUGCUGGGUUUCCUACUUUUCAGCUUUUGUUUUCCGUUUCAUGUUGUAGUGUUGCUGUGUUUCAUGUUUUGAUGAGUUUUGUUCAUUUAUUUGUAGAACAACACUCUGUGUUGGUGUCAAGAUCUAUAGAGCAGGCAUUUCUAUGGGCAGUGCAUCAGGACUCGAAGGAAGCAUAGCAUCAUCGGUUUUUGUGUUUCAUUAAUUCUCAUUUCAAGAUGGCAUCUGCUGGCCUAAAGCCAGGGGUGCCUGUUAUUCUACGGGAGCUGGAGCCAUCCUCAGAGAUGUUCAAGCAAGGAGCGUCCCUUCGAGUCACAGGAAGGAGUUUUACUCUGCUUUUAAGAAAGCAAAUAUUCAAGGGUACAGGCAAAGCUGGGACACCAUCUCACAAGCAAGUCAAAGGCCUCUAACAACAGCAACGACAAGCUAGAUUUCUAUUACAUCAGACAACAUGGUGUCACUCGCUUGGUAGUUCUGUAGCCAUGCAGCAAUUCUCUUCUCCAUGUCUUGCACUUCAGCUUUGUCCUUCUAUAGCAGCACGCACCACUUCUGCACGAAGGAGAUAGCAAUGUAUAUGACAUCAGUAGGUCUGUUCAGGAACCACUUCUCUAUUGCCAUCUUAUUUGUAUAGGUCAGAUCAUCCAAGUUAGCCCUGCAAACAUAAACAUACCUAGCCACUUAAAGGCACCAAGUUUUGUUUCC